UGAAAUGUGAAUUUGACCUAUUUAUGAACGAGCCUAGGAUGUUUUUUGGCUACCUGUGCCAUUCAAAAUCUGGCUGACGACAUGCAGACUGGGGAUGAGAAGGCCGGGGAGAAAGCCAGUGAUGCAUGGGGGCCUGGGAAAAAAUAAGAGAUGAAGAGGAGAAAGAGGGUUACUUAUUUGAUUGUUUUCAGACAUGUUUAUUUGUAAAAUGUCUUUCCUUUUAGCCUUGGUAACUUUAAAUAUACAUUGUAUUAUUCUAGCAAACAUAGAAAUAUGUUUUCGACACAUUGUUAAUGUCAUAUCUCCACACUAAUGAAGAAUAAAAUCAUUCUUAUUUCCA
Molecule: long non-coding RNA, 340 nt
Organism: Carassius carassius (crucian carp)
Lineage: Eukaryota; Metazoa; Chordata; Actinopteri; Cypriniformes; Cyprinidae
Exons: 2
Source: RefSeq, a predicted model, not a curated record